UGACGAGGUGGUGCAUGGUUGUCGUCAGCUCGUGUCGUGAGAUGUUGGGUUAAGUCCCGCAACGAGCGCAACCCUCGACCUUAGUUGCCAGCAUUCAGUUGGGCACUCUAAGGUGACUGCCGGCUAAAAGUCGGAGGAAGGUGGGGAUGACGUCAAAUCAUCAUGCCCCUUAUGACCUGGGCUACACACGUGCUACAAUGGGCGGUACAAAGGGUCGCGAACCCGCGAGGGGAGCCAAUCCCAAAAAGCCGCUCUCAGUUCGGAUUGCAGGCUGCAACUCGCCUGCAUGAAGCCGGAAUCGCUAGUAAUCGCGGAUCAGCAUGCCGCGGUGAAUACGUUCCCGGGCCUU
This 349-nucleotide ribosomal RNA is filed under the name uncultured Anoxybacillus sp. RNAcentral's name for it is "bacterial SSU rRNA". It matches the Rfam family "Bacterial small subunit ribosomal RNA", at positions 1031 to 1382 of the family's 1533-position model. The record is from RNAcentral. Lineage: Bacteria; Bacillati; Bacillota; Bacilli; Caryophanales; Anoxybacillaceae.